CACUAGACGUGCUUGACAAUUCAGUGACGUAAGCAAUGUUAUGGUUAUGGGGAAUCCCCGGCGUGAGCGACGCCAGUGUUAGUUUAUGUUAUCAGCUGUUAAAUUAAAACAAGGCAUAAGUUCGAUGUUACUUUACAAGGAAAUAAUCGCCAUUCCAAAAUGGGACAAAGAGUUCAACACUCAGCAAGCUGCAUGUUGAAGAAAUCUUGCUCCAAGGCUAUCUUCACUGCCACGAUGAAAAGCUGUUUGACUUUAAUGAUCUUCGUUAUUUUGGUUUGUCGUGUUGGAGCAAACUUUCCCUGCAGACCUGAACAGAUCCAUUGGAAUACUACAGUGGGAAAGAGACCGAAAUGUUUUGACUGUCCUGACUGUCUCCCAGGGACAGAACCCUCAGUCCCGUGUGGGACCUCAGUAAACGACUGG
Orbicella faveolata is the source of this 423-nucleotide long non-coding RNA. Lineage: Eukaryota; Metazoa; Cnidaria; Anthozoa; Scleractinia; Merulinidae. The record is from RefSeq and is a predicted model, not a curated record.